RNAcentral lists this ribosomal RNA (394 nucleotides) under uncultured Lactobacillus sp. RNAcentral describes it as "bacterial SSU rRNA". It matches the Rfam family "Bacterial small subunit ribosomal RNA", at positions 68 to 446 of the family's 1533-position model. The record is from RNAcentral. Lineage: Bacteria; Bacillati; Bacillota; Bacilli; Lactobacillales; Lactobacillaceae.
AACAGAUUUACUUCGGUAAUGACGUUAGGAAAGCGAGCGGCGGAUGGGUGAGUAACACGUGGGGAAUCUGCCCCAUAGUCUGGGAUACCACUUGGAAACAGGUGCUAAUACCGGAUAAGAAAGCAGAUCGCAUGAUCAGCUUUUAAAAGGCGGCGUAAGCUGUCGCUAUGGGAUGGCCCCGCGGUGCAUUAGCUAGUUGGUAAGGUAAAGGCUUACCAAGGCGAUGAUGCAUAGCCGAGUUGAGAGACUGAUCGGCCACAUUGGGACUGAGACACGGCCCAAACUCCUACGGGAGGCAGCAGUAGGGAAUCUUCCACAAUGGACGCAAGUCUGAUGGAGCAACGCCGCGUGAGUGAAGAAGGUUUUCGGAUCGUAAGGCUCUGUUGUUGGUGAA